GACGAACGCUGGCGGCGUGCUUAACACAUGCAAGUCGAACGGAAAGGCCCUGCUUUUGUGGGGUGCUCGAGUGGCGAACGGGUGAGUAACACGUGAGUAACCUGCCCUUGACUUUGGGAUAACUUAAGGAAACUGGGGCUAAUAUCGGAUAGGAGCUCCUGCUGCAUGGUGGGGGUUGGAAAGUUUCGGCGGUUGGGGAUGGACUCGCGGCUUAUCAGCUUGUUGGUGGGGUAGUGGCUUACCAAGGCUUUGACGGGUAGCCGGCCUGAGAGGGUGACCGGCCACAUUGGGACUGAGAUACGGCCCAGACUCCUACGGGAGUCAGCAGUGGGGAAUAGUGCACAAUAGGCGGAAGCCUGAUGCAGCAACGCCGCGUGCGGGAUGACGGCCUUCGGGUUGUAAACCGCUUUCGCCUGUGACGAAGCGUGAUUGACGGUAAUGGGUAAAGAAGCACCGGCUAACUACGUG
RNAcentral lists this ribosomal RNA (468 nucleotides) under uncultured bacterium. RNAcentral describes it as "partial 16S ribosomal RNA". It matches the Rfam family "Bacterial small subunit ribosomal RNA", at positions 28 to 507 of the family's 1533-position model. The record is from RNAcentral.